This is a long non-coding RNA of Uranotaenia lowii, 743 nucleotides long. RefSeq lists it as uncharacterized. The transcript is spliced from 3 exons. NCBI's taxonomy places the organism in Eukaryota, Metazoa, Arthropoda, Insecta, Diptera, Culicidae. The record is from RefSeq and is a predicted model, not a curated record.
CAAUUUCCUUUAUUUUCCCCUCAACUAAGGUUUUGAGCAUAAGAAAGAUGGCAGCACCGAAGCGUUUCAUGCACGAAUACUGUAUUGCAACGCCGACUCUAUCACUCGGUUCGGUGUUGCAAAUCAUCGUGUUUUUCUAUCACCCUCGGCCAAAAAGUGUUAUACGAUACAAAUUUUGCAGCGCGAAACUGUUCGAAUAUCAGAUUUUCCCAACACCGGUGUACGGCAAAUGUGUUGUGAUGUGUUGUAAACCUUCGAAAUUUCUAUCUCCAUCUCAACCAGUGAACUUGCUCUAAUAAUUAAACAUCAGUAAUUCAUCAUUGAACAGAGCUAAGCAAAUAUUGACAGCACAUGUUCAAGUCAGCCAUUUUUGUUCGAGAAAUUUUCUUAUUGAGGAGAAAAUAAAUUGGGAUCUUUUUAAAAGAUGCAUUUUUUUGGAAAUCAGCCAAUGGAGCUCCAUGGGAGUACUCCUGAGGCACUUAUUUACAUUCAAGGAAAGGCCAAUCGUAACAUAAAAUUGAACAGGAGGGACAUGAAACCCGAUAAAAAGAUUUAAAAGAUGCAUUUUUUGGAAAUCAGCCAAUGAAGCUCCAUGGGAGUGCUCCUGAGGCACUUAUUUACAUUCCGAAGAAAGGCCGAUCGCAACAUAAAAUCGAACAGGAGGGACAUGAAACCCGAUAUAUUUUGUUAUUUUGAAAGUGGGUAACAGUGCAAGUGCAAGAUUAAAGUGCAUUAAGUGUUAA